GGUUUCUCAUCUUGACUCCUCCUGUUGAUGUUGACCCACCACUGUGUGGAUGUGGGAUGGAAACCUGCUCUAAUUUGGGAAACCUAUGGAGGAAAUUCUUGAAGAAUUCUAACUGCCUUGGGUUUUCAAAAUAAAUGUUUUCCGUCGACAAGAAUCUCACUUUGGCGAAAGUCUUGCUAAAGUUGGGAAAUUCGGAAGGCAGCAGCAUUCUCGGCCCUCGUGUCACAUCCAUUUGAAUAAUUGUUAGUGACUUUAGCGACACGCAGCAAGAAAUGAAUGAGAUCUCUGGAAUUUGACCGAAAAAUUUGUCAAGUUUCAAGAUUUGGAUUUGAGGUCCGAGAAGGGACGCGAAGCGGGGAAAGUUUGCGAAUGCGAUGCUCUGUCUGUAGCUCUAUUUGACAUGCGGCCAACACUUUUGGAAUGUUUGUACACCAAGAAGUCGGGUUUGGGGAAAUGGGAGCGAGUUUCUCCAGGGAGAAGCGACCAAUCUGAUUCUGCCCGAUGGCAGUGCACAUCAAGUUCCCAAUUACCUAGGUAUUCGAAAGUAAAUUAAUUAGCGAUGCUAGAUACGCAUAAUUUGCCAACUUUGGUGGGAUUUCGCUCUAAAUCGGUAAUGAAGGCUGUCAGUUUUCGGUUAAUACUGAAAUUAUGUAUACAUAUAAUCCUUAAAAUACUGGAUAAAUCUGAAAAUGCUCACCAUUUCUGGAAAUGUGUAUGGAGUAAGAACUUUCUCGUCAUCUUUAAUAAUAUCUGGGAUUUCAUCUGGGAUUUCACUUACUUCACUAACUUCCUCCAUAACUAGUUGGCCACAACCUCCUACCGAUACUGAACUAGUUACACAAAUUGAGCCUCUUUUUUCAACCAACCUGCUUCACGAGAGAGAGUUGUCGUACGUUAUCAAUGACGACAUUUUGUCACACUGUAUGUAAAAAUCCUUAAUUUUUAUUUUUAGACGUUGUCAAUAUUGAAAUGAGUGCAAGAACUCUUACUGAAACUCUCAGCAAGUAGGAAACUCCUUUAAAAAAACGCGAAUAUUAUGCUUCGCUUGCAAAUCUCCAUAAAUCAUGUACCGCGUCAUAAUUGACAUGCCAAAGUAUAGUUGUACGACACAAAUGGCACAAUGUGGGUAUUAAUAGAUCAUCACUUUAUUUAACGUUAAUGUAUUACACAAUUACAUGUUUAAUUUCUAGUAUAUAUCGUUAUUACAAAGUACCGUUUGUUUGAAAUGUUACAGUGCAUUAAAACUUAUACAAAACUACAUUUACAUGUUUAA
Long non-coding RNA from Folsomia candida, 1273 nucleotides. RefSeq lists it as uncharacterized. The transcript has 2 exons. Lineage: Eukaryota; Metazoa; Arthropoda; Collembola; Entomobryomorpha; Isotomidae. The record is from RefSeq and is a predicted model, not a curated record.